AAGAACUCCCUGCGCCUCCAUGCAGCCUAGCAUGGAUUGAAGGUGCCGGCGGUUGAGAAAGAACCAAGGGUAGAGCACACAGAAGCAGAGCAAGGUCCUCUGAUGCAGGAUGAAACUGUUGCAGAUUCACGUAUGUUGGAGCCUGAUUCAGUGCUGCUGGGGCCAGAGACAACAGAGGAACACAGAGUACCAGAAGAGACACAAGUGAUGUUGGAGGAACCGAUGCUAGAGGCAGAUUACCUGACUGAAGAGAUGCCAGAGACAGAACUAGAGCCUGAGCCAGAAAUAACUGCCAUUCAGAUGAACAGAAACAUCAUACCUGUGGAGGAAGCUGUACAACAGUUAGAGUCUGAAACUAAUAUAGAGGUGGAAGAUGAAAAAGAAGAAAAUGUAGUAAAGGAGGAGCCUACACUUGAGGCUGAUUAUAUAGAGGUUGAAGAUCCAGAAAUACAAAUGGAACUUGGGAGGGAAAGACGAAGGACACAGAUUGGGAGAUGGACUUGUAGAGGAGUUGUCCUACAGGGCAAAUGUUACCAGUACUUCACAAGAAACCUUGAUGCCUAUACUGCUGAGUUACAAUGUCAAUCUAUCUGCCCCAAUGGCCACCUGGCCUCUGUGACAAGCAGCUACAUUCGUGACGGAAUGGGCAAGUUAAUGGACCGGUAUGGCGGGCGCACUCGCGCAUGGCUUGGAGGACGGAGAAUCAUUGGUGUAUGUUCAUUUGUUUUGCAGUGUUUCACUUUUUCACAUGGUUUAUUCAUUUCUCCACCAUAUCUGUCCCUCUAGUAAGUCACUUUCCUGUUUUGACAGACAAAUAAUUUUGUUUGGUUGGAUGGAACGCAGUGGAGCUAUAAUGGCUGGGCUUUUGGAGAGCCCAAUAAUGCUGGUGGGAUGGAGAAUUGCGUGGAGACGUGGAGUAAGUGUUGCUACUGAACAACAGUUAACAAAAAUCUGUCAAUAAAAAGUCACAUUCAUUGCACAGAUCCAAAGGAAUAAUAUAUAAAUAUUAACUCCUUCACCUAAGUUUUAUUCUCUGUGUUCCUUUUGUAGUGAUGCCUUCCUCUUUUCAUGAUCUGUCUUUACCAGUUUUUACAAAGCUUUGUCUAUUUUCAGAUGAUCUGGCGUUCAGUGAUGUACCAUGCGCAAUACCCAAACCGUUCAUCUGUUCCUGUCCAGUUUAGACAGCCAGAAGGUUAACCUAACCUGCU
This 1208-nucleotide long non-coding RNA is filed under the name Sinocyclocheilus grahami. Its description in RNAcentral is "lncRNA (ENSSGRG00000039233.1)". The record is from RNAcentral. Lineage: Eukaryota; Metazoa; Chordata; Actinopteri; Cypriniformes; Cyprinidae.